GGAAGUGAGGGCAAGCUGGCUGCGACAUCUGUCACCCCAUUGAUCGCCAGGGUUGAUAUGGCUGGCUAGGCAGUUGUCCCCUUCCUCCCUCACUGCUUCAUGUGCGUCCCUCCAAAGCUGUGCGCUCAGUGGAAGAGGACAACAUCCCAGGUAUAGAAAGAGUGUACCGAGGUCUCCAGUCUUC
RNAcentral lists this small nuclear RNA (184 nucleotides) under Anolis carolinensis (green anole). Its description in RNAcentral is "7SK RNA". It matches the Rfam family "7SK RNA". Rfam says of the family: 7SK was discovered as an abundant small nuclear RNA in the mid-70s but a possible function has only recently been suggested. Two independent studies have found that 7SK RNA binds the CDK9/cyclin T complex (known as elongation factor P-TEFb). The record is from Rfam by way of RNAcentral. Lineage: Eukaryota; Metazoa; Chordata; Lepidosauria; Squamata; Anolidae.